AGAGUUUGAUCAUGGCUCAGAACGAACGCUGGCGGCGUGCCUAACACAUGCAAGUCGAACGGAUGUAGCAAUACAUUAGCGGCGCACGGGUGAGUAAUGCAUGAGAGAUCUGCCCUACGGAGACGGAUAGCUACGGGAAGCUGUAGAUAAUACGUCGUAAGCAGUAUUGUAGAGAGACAGUACUGGAAAGGCUGGGACCGCAAGGCCAGUCGCCGAAGGAUGAGCCCAUGUCCCAUUAGCUAGUUGGUAGGGUAAAGGCCUACCAAGGCUCAGAUGGGUAGCUGGUCUGAGAGGAUGAUCAGCCACACUGGAACUGAGACACGGUCCAGACUCCUACGGGAGGCAGCAGUGGGGAAUAUUGCGCAAUGGACGAAAGUCUGACGCAGCAACGCCGCGUGAGUGAAGAAGGCCUUUGGGUUGUAAAGCUCUUUCGGCCGGGAAGAAGGGUUGGGGUGUUAAUAGUAUCUCAAUUUGAUGGUACCGGAAGAAGAAGCACCGGCUAACUUCGUGCCAGCAGCCGCGGUAAUACGAAGGGUGCAAGCGUUGUUCGGAAUUACUGGGCGUAAAGGGUUUGUAGGCUGGAAUAUAAGUCAAGUGUGAAAUCCCCGAGCUUAACUUGGGACGUGCAUUUGAAACUGUGUUUCUUGAGUAUUGGAGAGGGUGGUGGAAUUGUUGGUGUAGGAGUGACAUCCGUAGAGAUCAGCAGGAACAUCAGAGGCGAAGGCGACCACCUGGCCAAUUACUGACGCUG
Molecule: ribosomal RNA, 751 nt
Filed under: uncultured bacterium
Lineage: Bacteria
Description: bacterial SSU rRNA
Rfam family: Bacterial small subunit ribosomal RNA
Source: RNAcentral